This 246-nucleotide ribosomal RNA is filed under the name uncultured bacterium. Its description in RNAcentral is "partial 16S ribosomal RNA". It matches the Rfam family "Bacterial small subunit ribosomal RNA", at positions 87 to 334 of the family's 1533-position model. The record is from RNAcentral.
AGAUGCGACCGGCGCACGGGUGAGUAACACGUAUCCAACCUGCCGAUAACUCGGGGAUAGCCUUUCGAAAGAAAGAUUAAUACCCGAUGGUAUAAUCAGACCGCAUGGUUUGAUUAUUAAAGAAUUUCGGUUAUCGAUGGGGAUGCGUUCCAUUAGGCAGUUGGUGAGGUAACGGCUCACCAAACCUUCGAUGGAUAGGGGUUCUGAGAGGAAGGUCCCCCACAUUGGAACUGAGACACGGUCCAA